Molecule: transfer RNA, 64 nt
Filed under: Enteroctopus dofleini (giant Pacific octopus)
Lineage: Eukaryota; Metazoa; Mollusca; Cephalopoda; Octopoda; Octopodidae
Also listed under: 1 other name
Description: tRNA-Cys
Source: RNAcentral
GGUUUUAUAUUUUAUUUAAAAUAUUAAAUUGCAAAUUUAAAGAAACAUGAUUAUGUUAAAACUU